Molecule: transfer RNA, 719 nt
Filed under: Bradyrhizobium sp. TUTCT4A
Lineage: Bacteria; Pseudomonadati; Pseudomonadota; Alphaproteobacteria; Hyphomicrobiales; Nitrobacteraceae
Description: partial 16S-23S ribosomal RNA intergenic spacer
Rfam family: tRNA (bases 115-188)
Source: RNAcentral
GGAUUUCGCCGUCUUCGUUUCUCUUUCUUCGCGGACGAACACGCGCCAGGGGCUGAGCGCUGUGCGAUGCAUCGACUUCACGUCGGGUGCGCGCCGGCAUGUCUCUCGUGUUAGGGGCUUGUAGCUCAGUUGGUUAGAGCGCGCGCUUGAUAAGCGUGAGGUCGGAAGUUCAAGUCUUCCCAGGCCCACCAUUUUGAUCGAGUGCGGAGCAUUCGUCUUCUGGUACGGGGCCAUAGCUCAGCUGGGAGAGCGCGUGCUUUGCAAGCAUGAGGUCGUCGGUUCGAUCCCGUCUGGCUCCACCAGAUGGUUUGAUCACCAACGGCGUUACCGUCGUCCGCGAAACAUCACUUCGCACGCAUUGGUCCGGAUGGACGGUGACGUGCGUGUUUUCUGACAUCGUAAAGAGGAGAUCGAUCCGAGUUUGGAUCCAGCGAAGCAAUUCGCGGGUACCAUUCCUAAUCUCCAGAUCGUUUUCGGCGCUCGCGCAUCGCAGCUCAUCGCAAGAUGAGUGAGGUGAGCGAGUUGUAAAACGAUCUUUGUAGCGAAGCUUGACCGCCUCGCUAUCGGGCCGAUCUUACGAAGCAAGCUGGUCUUUCUAGUCAAUGUCCGGCUGCGCAAUCGCAUUCAUCGAGGAUGCGCGCCUGAGACUUCGGUCUUUGGGCAAUUGUGCAGACAACAUUCUGCCGAGUGUGUGGACAUUGAUAAUGAGAGCAAUCAAG